Molecule: ribosomal RNA, 114 nt
Filed under: Lishizhenia tianjinensis
Lineage: Bacteria; Pseudomonadati; Bacteroidota; Flavobacteriia; Flavobacteriales; Crocinitomicaceae
Source: RNAcentral
UUCGGUGUCUAUUGCAGUAGGGUCCACCUCUUCCCAUUCCGAACAGAGAAGUUAAGACUACUAGCGCUGAUGGUACUGCCCUAUUGAGGGUGGGAGAGUAAGUCGACGCCACUU